CCUUUCAGGCGCUCAAUCCCGGCGAGUGCAGGCAUCACUGAAGACCUGACAUCGGAGGAAAUCGGACGUCCGCUCUUCUCUCCCUCCAACUGAUUGACCAGGUGUUCAUCUUGAACAAACUUUAUCUCCUUACGAUGAGGCUGACCAAGCACUCCUGUCGGCGGAGGAUGAUCGCGGCUUUUGCCGCUGGAAGAGACUUUUUGUGUCCAAACGGGGGAAAGACAGGCAGCGAGACAAUAACACCCCGAAGUUACUGUAAUAAAUUGCCAUGAAAUGAGCUGACACAAGAGGUGGAAGCCGAAGAGAAUUGACAGUGUUGGCCUUCACCCAAGAGGCGAGAAGAGGAAGCAGAAGACCCCCUAACUCCAGCGGUGAGCUACGAGGAGAAAUUGACGAGGUCCAGACAUGAAGGAGGCACGCAAGGAUACACACAAACCCAGUGCAAUGGCACCUAGAGGCUGUCUGCGGUCUACCACCUCCCUUCUGCACACGCACACAGACACACACACACACACACACCCACACACUUGCACACAAAGACUGUUACAGUAAGGAACAACAGACCACAGAGUCACGAUGAUAAUCGCAGUUGGAAUUUACGAAAACACAUUCAUUAUCUUUUGCUGCUUUCUUCUUUUACUUCAAAGCCAAAUUCCAAUAGAGAAAUGUAAAACUUUUUGCAAAAAAUUUAUAGAAAAUUAUUGAGAAAACAAACUAGAAUAGCAUCGACUUGAAACCAAUUUUCUCCUUUAAAGUCUAGAUGUUAUGAGCUAUUCAAAAUACGUCUUAUAUCAUGCGUUAAUGUUUGUGACUGUACUUGCGUCAGGGAAAUCUAAAUCUGUUUUUAUCCCCCUUUUUUCCCCGUCCAUUGAACCUAUCCAUACAAGUUUAACCUCCCCACCGCACAUCCCACAACACCUCCGUAACCAACCCGCAUAACCCAACCAGCGCCCCUCCCAGGCUUCCCAGCAUCCUGCCGAGCACACCCUCCAAAAUAAAUCCUUCAAGACGAAAUUACAGUGCAGCUCUGUGGGAAAACCCUCCCUCUUUUCUAUCUCUGCCCCCGACGUCCCUUCCCUAGUCUCCUUGUUGGGCUUCACUUGAUUCAGAGUGCAGAUAAAUUCAUUGUAAAUUAGUCGGUACUAUGGUGAACCACACUAAUUUCAAUUUGUAGUUACAGUUAUUUUUAGAAGGUAUGACUGUAGCCCUCUAUAGAAGCCACCUUUUUGUGUCUGAUUUUAUGCGAAUGGAAAGAGAGGUUGAUAAUUAGUUUGUUUUCAUUUCUAAAAUGAGGUAAUCUUUUUUCUUAAAUUUUUAAUGAACUACUAAUUAGCAUACUAAUUGAGUUUCUUUGAUUGUCCUCUUUAAAUGUAUCUUCUUGUUAUCACUUUGAGCCACUUGGAACGCACUGAAGAGACUACAACUCCUCAGGCUUUUUGUGGGACAAAAAAGAAUGUGCAUGUUUUAGUAUUGCCUUCGGAUUUUUAAAUGUUAUCCAGUGGCCACAGUUAUCUAGAAAUAAAUGUUGCUGUCAAGAGUUAAGAUCCCCAAAGCUGUCAAAUUUGAGCUAAUUAUACAGAUUUGGAACUUAAACUGAAUUAAAAAAUAGACAAAUGCGAGCUAUUUAGUUGAGAAAGCAGCCCUGGUCAUUUCCAGCGUUUGGGUUAACUGACGAAGCCAACCUCACAGCGGCCGUGUCACAGUUAAGCUUUAAUGAUACACUCCAUCAGUUCAGCUUUUUUCCUGCGCGAGGCCAGCUUGGUUAACAGUCGGUUGAGGGUGUGUGUGUGUGUGGGGGUGUGUCGGCGUGUGUAUUUGUGUGCGGCAACUAUUAAAGCACUUGAGAAUCAGAGAGGAAAGAACUCACGCUGCUAAUGGAUGUGUCUAUUGAUGUUCCCAUUUGGCGGCACACUGUAAACGAUAGGGCAAUGAUUGUGCUGAAGAUGGAAGGUGGUGGUGGUGGAGGAGUGGAGAGGAGAGCGGUUUGGCUUGGCGAUGAUAAUGACAAGGAAGGUUAUUAUUCAGCGCCCCAUGGAGUCUCUCUCUUUUUUGCCUUUGUGUGUGUGUGUAUUUGAGAGAGAGAGAGAGGAAGAGGAGUGGUACUCAUCCUCUAUGUCUCUCAGUGAUGUUGCCUUCCCAGUCCAUUGGCUAUUAUUAACUUCUCGCCUUUUCUCUCCCACUCUACACCUCUCCCGACAUUACUUACUGUUGCUGCUCGUCAUCCAUUCAUGGCUGUCUCUUUACCAUAAACACCUUGUUUUCUUUUUCUAAACAGUCCAUAUUUUUAAUCUACAGGUCAUAUCAUUCAUAACAAUGAGUAAAAUAGUCUAAAAGGUAGAAACAAAAGACAAUACUGUGAGCAAAGAAGACAGUUGCAUUCUCAACACAGCUAGGGCCAGUAUGCAGUUAGGAUAGGGUAAAACUAAACCAUAUAGCAUCAUAAGACUGCUUUAAUUUGAGUAAAGUAACAGCUUCCCCCACUGAAAUAAAUAAACUCAUUUCUCAUCAUGGAUGUAACUGUAAUAUUUUAUAUUCCAUUUAUUAAUGGCUAUUUUGAUAUUCAUAAAUAUACACAUUAAGUACACCAAUCUAAAACAAGAAAAAAAAUGUUAGCUAAAUUUAGGGGUAGACUAAAAACCUGGCUCGGUGGCCAGACUACAGUCGUUUGCUUAUCAGUCAUGUUGCUAAUAGCUUGACAGCUAUAGUGUGAAAAUAGUGUUACCUUAAUAAGAUGGCAAGCUAGUACGACAUAUUUUCAGCUAAAUCCGUCUCUUUUGUAAAAUAUAGUAGCUUUUUAUCAGCCAGCUGACAGUCAACAAAGGGUGAGGGGCAGCGUGGUAUUACUCUAUCCAUGAAAAAAAAACAAAAAACUUUAUAAA
Long non-coding RNA from Gambusia affinis (western mosquitofish), 2879 nucleotides. RefSeq lists it as uncharacterized. Lineage: Eukaryota; Metazoa; Chordata; Actinopteri; Cyprinodontiformes; Poeciliidae. The record is from RefSeq and is a predicted model, not a curated record. The transcript has 3 exons.